This 486-nucleotide ribosomal RNA is filed under the name uncultured bacterium. RNAcentral's name for it is "partial 16S ribosomal RNA". It matches the Rfam family "Bacterial small subunit ribosomal RNA", at positions 29 to 523 of the family's 1533-position model. The record is from RNAcentral.
AGUGAACGCUGGCGGCGUGCUUAACACAUGCAAGUCGAACGAGAACGGAAUAUAGCUUGCUAUAUUUGUCAGCUAAGUGGCGCACGGGUGAGUAAUGUAUAGAUAACCUGCCCUUAAGAAAGGAAUAACAGUUGGAAACGACUGCUAAUGCCCUAUAUGCCUUUAAUACAUAAGUAUGCAAGGGAAACGCUUUAGUGCUUAAGGAUGGGUCUGUAUGGUAUCAGCUUGUUGGGGAGGUAAUGGCUCACCAAGGCUAUGACGGGUAGCUGGUCUGAGAGGAUGAUCAGCCACAUUGGAACUGAGACACGGUCCAAACUCCUACGGGAGGCAGCAGUGGGGAAUUUUACACAAUGGGCGAAAGCCUGAUGUAGCAACGCCGCGUGGAGGAUGAAGGAUUUAGGUUCGUAAACUCCUUUUAUAAGGGAAGAAAUUUGACGGUACCUUAUGAAUAAGCACCGGCUAACUCCGUGCCAGCCGCCGCCGUAA